CGUUAGCGGCGGACGGGUGAGUAACACGUGGAUAACCUACCUAUAAGACUGGGAUAACUUCGGGAAACCGGGGCUAAUACCGGAUAACACAUGAAACCGCAUGGUUUCAUGAUGAAAGACGGUUUUGCUGUCACUUAUAGAUGGACCCGCGGCGUAUUAGCUAGUUGGUAAGGUAACGGCUUACCAAGGCAACGAUGCGUAGCCGACCUGAGAGGGUGAUCGGCCACACUGGAACUGAGACACGGUCCAG
This 250-nucleotide ribosomal RNA is filed under the name uncultured Staphylococcus sp. Its description in RNAcentral is "partial 16S ribosomal RNA". It matches the Rfam family "Bacterial small subunit ribosomal RNA", at positions 90 to 334 of the family's 1533-position model. The record is from RNAcentral. Lineage: Bacteria; Bacillati; Bacillota; Bacilli; Caryophanales; Staphylococcaceae.